This is a long non-coding RNA of Stegodyphus dumicola, 371 nucleotides long. RefSeq lists it as uncharacterized. The record is from RefSeq and is a predicted model, not a curated record. NCBI's taxonomy places the organism in Eukaryota, Metazoa, Arthropoda, Arachnida, Araneae, Eresidae.
CGUUGACCUGCGAUAAGAAAUUCCAAGUUCACAGAGACUAGUAUCAGGAAAAAUAUCAAAACAUCCAUUACCUACGAUUCUCACAUUUUUGAGGACUUCAGAUUGAGAAAUUCUCUGAGAAAAGCAAUUGAGCAAAAUGAUGGGAACAUCACUACCGCUGACCAUAGCAUAAAACAAAACUGCCUAUGGAAAGUACAGAAAACGAAAAGAAAAGUGUGGCAGCAGCAAUGAUAACAGGAAGAAAAGUUGUGAAUAGUUUGGCACCUGUUAACCUACAUUUCUAGGUUAACAUAAAUUGAAGAAAAUGUCGAAUAAAUUGAAAAGAGGGUGAACCUUUCUCCAUAGAGGUACUUCGUAUUUCUUCAGGUAAG